AAUUAAGAAGCAAAAUUUUGCAUUCAAUUUCGGCUUGAAAGUUAGGUUAAUUAAAUCCUUAAUUG
RNAcentral lists this transfer RNA (65 nucleotides) under Histeromerus sp. QL-2013. Its description in RNAcentral is "tRNA-Arg". The record is from RNAcentral. Lineage: Eukaryota; Metazoa; Arthropoda; Insecta; Hymenoptera; Braconidae.